GCGGGAAUAGCUCAGUGGUAGAGCAUCACCUUGCCAAGGUGAGGGUCGCGGGUUCAAGCCCCGUUUCCCGCUCCA
Molecule: transfer RNA, 75 nt
Filed under: Candidatus Acidulidesulfobacterium ferriphilum
Lineage: Bacteria; Candidatus Acidulodesulfobacteriota; Candidatus Acidulidesulfobacterales; Candidatus Acidulidesulfobacteraceae
Description: Candidatus Acidulodesulfobacterium ferriphilum tRNA-Gly
Rfam family: tRNA
About the family: Transfer RNA (tRNA) molecules are approximately 80 nucleotides in length.
Source: RNAcentral